RNAcentral lists this ribosomal RNA (478 nucleotides) under uncultured bacterium. Its description in RNAcentral is "partial 16S ribosomal RNA". It matches the Rfam family "Bacterial small subunit ribosomal RNA", at positions 28 to 507 of the family's 1533-position model. The record is from RNAcentral.
GAUGAACGCUGGCGGCGUGCCUAACACAUGCAAGUCGAACGGAGUCCAGCCUUUAAGACCUUCGGGUCAAAGAGGGGAAGACUGAGUGGCGGACGGGUGAGUAACACGUGGGCAACCUGGCUCAUAGAGGGGGAUAACAGAGAGAAAUUUCUGCUAAUACCGCAUAAGCACACACUGCCGCAUGGCAGAGGGUGAAAAGAGAAUCGCUAUGAGAUGGACCCGCGUCUGAUUAGCCAGUUGGCAGGGUAAGAGCCUACCAAAGCGACGAUCAGUAGCCGAUCUGAGAGGAUGAACGGCCACAUUGGGACUGAGACACGGCCCAAAAUCCUACGGGAGGCAGCAGUGGGGGAUAUUGCACAAUGGGGGGAACCCUGAUGCAGCGACGCCGCGUGAGUGAAGAAGUAUUUCGGUAUGUAAAGCUCUAUCAGCAGGGAAGAUAAUGACAGUACCUGAAUAAGAAGCCCCGGCUAACUACGUG